This 429-nucleotide ribosomal RNA is filed under the name uncultured bacterium. RNAcentral describes it as "bacterial SSU rRNA". It matches the Rfam family "Bacterial small subunit ribosomal RNA", at positions 917 to 1350 of the family's 1533-position model. The record is from RNAcentral.
GGGCCCGCACAAGCGGUGGAGCAUGUGGUUUAAUUCGAUGAUACGCGAGGAACCUUACCAGGCUUAAAUGGGAGAUGACAGGGGCAGAGACGCCCUUUUCUUCGGACAUCUUUCAAGGUGCUGCAUGGUUGUCGUCAGCUCGUGCCGUGAGGUGUCAGGUUAAGUCCUAUAACGAGCGCAACCCCUACCGUUAGUUGCCAGCGAUUCAAGUCGGGGACUCUAACGGGACUGCCGGUGCAAACCGUGAGGAAGGUGGGGACGACGUCAAAUCAUCACGGCCCUUACGUCCUGGGCUACACACGUGCUACAAUGGUCGGUACAGAGGGAAGCUACCCCGCAAGGGGAUGCGGAUCUAUAAAACCGGUCUCAGUUCGGAUCGGAGUCUGCAACUCGACUCUAUGAAGCUGGAAUCGCUAGUAAUCGCGCAUC